This 498-nucleotide ribosomal RNA is filed under the name uncultured bacterium. RNAcentral's name for it is "partial 16S ribosomal RNA". It matches the Rfam family "Bacterial small subunit ribosomal RNA", at positions 28 to 508 of the family's 1533-position model. The record is from RNAcentral.
GAUGAACGCUGGCGGCGUGCCUAAUACAUGCGAGUCGAGCGAACGGACGAGAAGCUUGCUUCUCUGAUGUUAGCGGCGGACGGGUGAGUAACACGUGGAUAACCUACCUAUAAGACUGGGAUAACUUCGGGAAACCGGAGCUAAUACCGGAUAAUAUUUUGAACCGCAUGGUUCAAAAGUGAAAGACGGUCUUGCUGUCACUUAUAGAUGGAUCCGCGCUGCAUUAGCUAGUUGGUAAGGUAACGGCUUACCAAGGCAACGAUGCAUAGCCGACCUGAGAGGGUGAUCGGCCACACUGGAACUGGGACACGGUCCAGACUCCUACGGGAGGCAGCAGUAGGGAAUCUUCCGCAAUGGGCGAAAGCCUGACGGAGCAACGCCGCGUGAGUGAUGAAGGUCUUCGGAUCGUAAAACUCUGUUAUUAGGGAAGAACAUAUGUGUAAGUAACUGUGCACAUCUUGACGGUACCUAAUCAGAAAGCCACGGCUAACUACGUGC